CAAUAGCGUAUAUUUAAGUUGCUGCAGUUAAAAAGCUCGUAGUUGGAUUUCGGGUGGGAAUGGCCGGUCCGCCGUUUCGGUGUGCACUUGCUACGCCCACCUUGCUGCCGGGGACGUGCUCUUGAGUUCACGCUCGGGACACGGAGUCGGCGAGGUUACUUUGAGUAAAUUAGAGUGUUCAAAGCAGGCCUACGCUCUGAAUACAUUAGCAUGGAAUAACACGAUAGGACUCUGGCCAAUCUUGUUGGUCUGUAGGACCGGAGUAAUGAUUAAGAGGGACAGUCGGGGGCAUUCGUAUUUCAUUGUCAGAGGUGAAAUUCUUGGAUUUAUGAAAGACGAACUACUGCGAAAGCAUUUGCCAAGGAUGUUUUCAUUAA
Molecule: ribosomal RNA, 377 nt
Filed under: uncultured eukaryote
Lineage: Eukaryota
Description: partial 18S ribosomal RNA
Rfam family: Eukaryotic small subunit ribosomal RNA
Source: RNAcentral